Non-coding RNA from Zonotrichia albicollis (white-throated sparrow), 2228 nucleotides. The record is from RefSeq and is a predicted model, not a curated record. NCBI's taxonomy places the organism in Eukaryota, Metazoa, Chordata, Aves, Passeriformes, Passerellidae.
GCCAGAUUUCAUAUUUAGCUCAGAAUUUGUACAUAAAGGACAAGGAAAAGCAGAUUUCGUGUUUAGGUAGUGCAGAAUUUGUCUGAAAAGGACGAGAAAGGGCUCAUUUAAUGUUUUAGAUUGAUUAAGCUGAGCUGGCCGUGGGCCCAGGCUUCACCUGGGGCUGGGCCAGAGCUUGUGUUGAUUCCAAAGGUUUUCCCAGCAGCCCUGACCCCCUUGGAAAAGCUCUUUUGGAAAAUCCUCCUCGUGCAGGGCCACGGGCAGCAAUGGGAGGACACAAAUUUUCAUUUUUAAGUGGCUUUGCAGCUGUGAAGUCCAGGAAAAAUCCCAUUGAAGCUUCCCUAUAAAUCCCAAAAAAAAUCUGUUUUAAAAGGCUUGACCUCGUCACCCAGCAGGCUUUUGUUGGCACAAAUCUAAGGACAGGUUAAUUAACCUCUGAAAGGUUAAUUUUGGGGUUAUCAGGUUGCAAAAUCCUCAGGCAAAGGUUUUUUGCAGUCCUUGAAUCCUUCCCAUGUUGUGUGUGGAGUUGGAGUCAGCACUGAGUUGAGAUAUUCUCUUUAAAUAAAUGAAUAUCACAUAAAUACUGAGUCUAAUUAAGUAAUACAUGAGGAAAUAAAUCUAAAAGCAGACCUGCGCUUAAUUAGCCUUCAGGUUUUUGUUUAAAAAAUAAGUUUGCUCCAAGCCAAUAAAAAUUUUAGUGAAAUUAAGAAUAAAUACUUUCAAGUUAGUAUUUACAUACUUGAUCUGGGGGUCAGAAUUUGUGGGGAAUUCAUUUUUACAUCCCCCACCCUUGUCUUUUAACAAUCCUGGUAAUCAAAGCAGUAUUUAAAAACAAGGUGGAUAAACAGCAGUUUCUGUGCAGCAGAAGCUGAAAUACCUGAUUAAACGUAAAGGGCUAAAAGGUUUAGUUCCUGCAAAAUCACUCAAAACCUCAAGUGUGACAAGUCAUGAUUAGGAUUGGUCAAAAUUUGGUCAAAUAUAGUCAAAAUUUCAGAUGUUCAAAGAGGGAAAUACCAAAACAGAGUCUGUGAUGGAAGAGUUUCCUGCCAGAAUACAGCAGGCAAAAGUGUGGGCUCAAGUUUAACACACAGGGAGAAUAUGGAUUAUCGAAGCAAAAAGUGGUUUUGCCUGAAAUAACUCCCAUUUUCUCGUGUUCAGGAGUUCACAGAUAGCUGUGUCAACAUUUCCUCUGUUUGCUUUACACUUGGAUCUGGUGUGAAACCAAGAACCAGCUGGUUCCUUUCUGGUUUUCCUUCUGCUCCUGCUGGGGUUUGUGGCAAGAAUUUAAAAUCCUUUUAAAUUCUCCUGCUUUUCCAGCAUUUGUUGGGAGUGUCAUGGUGAAUCCCAGGGCUGGCUGCAGCAGAAUUUUAAUGGGAUUUUUGGGAACUUUGAUUUUAUAACCAGAAUAUGGAUGCAUAUUUAGUGCAGGUCUGCUUUUAGAUUUAUUUCCUCACGUGUUACAUGAGCCACUCAGUAUUUGUGUGCUGCUCAUUUAUUUAAUGAGGAUUUCCCAGUGUUUGUGGCAAGCAUUUAAAAUCCUUGUUUGGCAUUUAAAAUGCCAGUGUUUGUGGCAAAAAUUUCAAAAUUUUGACUAAAUAUAGUCAACAUUUCACACCUGAAAUUUUGACUAUAUUUACCCAAUUUUUGACCAGUCCUAAUCAUUACUUGUCACACUUGAGGUUUUUGAGUGAUUGGGCAGGAACUGAACCCUUUCAGCCCUUUACAUUUCCUCUCAGAUGUGAUUCCUGGCUCCCUGUUUUCCAACAGGGCAAGGAGUGCUUUUUUUUAAAUCAGUCAGCAAAUUGGACUUUAAUUGUCUGCUCCACUGAAGGCUUUUAAUAGUGAUAUUUUUUUAAAUAGAUGUGUUUGUAAUUUAUUUUGGGAUUUUCCAGGAUCAUUAAGCUGGCACAGGCUGGGGCAGUGAAUAUUCCUUUAAAGCAGAUUUGUGUCAAAUCUGCAGUGGAACCACAGAGUUAUUUUUGUAUGCCUUGUAUAAGUCUGAAAUUUUGUUUUCUUGAUGAAAAAAUAUAUAUAAAUUUUCUAUUUCCUGCUGCUGUGGUUUGUACAAAGAAUAACCAGUGAUGCUUUAUUUACCUGUAUAUAGAGAAAAAGGCCCCUGGCCUGUUUUUAAUUCAGGUUUAAAGGAUUUAAUUCUUAUUUUUAACUUUGUAUUUUGUAAAUUGUUCCUUACAAAAGCAGAAGCAUUAAACACCACUUUGGCUGCAGCA